Molecule: ribosomal RNA, 404 nt
Filed under: Bacillus cereus
Lineage: Bacteria; Bacillati; Bacillota; Bacilli; Caryophanales; Bacillaceae
Description: bacterial SSU rRNA
Rfam family: Bacterial small subunit ribosomal RNA
Source: RNAcentral
ACGCCGCGUGAGUGAUGAAGGCUUUCGGGUCGUAAAACUCUGUUGUUAGGGAAGAACAAGUGCUAGUUGAAUAAGCUGGCACCUUGACGGUACCUAACCAGAAAGCCACGGCUAACUACGUGCCAGCAGCCGCGGUAAUACGUAGGUGGCAAGCGUUAUCCGGAAUUAUUGGGCGUAAAGCGCGCGCAGGUGGUUUCUUAAGUCUGAUGUGAAAGCCCACGGCUCAACCGUGGAGGGUCAUUGGAAACUGGGAGACUUGAGUGCAGAAGAGGAAAGUGGAAUUCCAUGUGUAGCGGUGAAAUGCGUAGAGAUAUGGAGGAACACCAGUGGCGAAGGCGACUUUCUGGUCUGUAACUGACACUGAGGCGCGAAAGCGUGGGGAGCAAACAGGAUUAGAUACCCUG